UACGUAGGGGGCUAGCGUUGUCCGGAAUCAUUGGGCGUAAAGAGCGUGUAGGCGGCUCAGUAAGUCCGCUGUGAAAGUCCAGGGCUCAACCCUGGAAUGCCAGUGGAAACUGUUGAGCUAGAGUCCGGAAGAGGCGAGUGGAAUUCCUGGUGUAGCGGUGAAAUGCGCAGAUAUCAGGAGGAACACCGGUGGCGAAGGCGGUGGGCUGGGCCGGCACUGACGCUGAGGAGCGAAAGCGUGGGGAGCGAACAGG
This 253-nucleotide ribosomal RNA is filed under the name uncultured bacterium. RNAcentral's name for it is "partial 16S ribosomal RNA". It matches the Rfam family "Bacterial small subunit ribosomal RNA", at positions 524 to 776 of the family's 1533-position model. The record is from RNAcentral.